GUGUCAGCCGCCGCGGUAAUACAGAGGUCUCAAGCGUUGUUCGGAAUCACUGGGCGUAAAGGGUGCGUAGGUGGCGUGGUAAGUCAGAUGUGAAAGCCCGAGGCUCAACCUCGGAAUUGCAUCCGAUACUACCAUGCUAGAGUACUGAAGAGGUGACUAGAAUUCUCGGUGUAGCAGUGAAAUGCGUAGAUAUCGAGAGGAAUACCAAAGGCGAAGGCAGGUCACUGGGCAGUUACUGACACUGAGGCACGAAGGCUAGGGGAGCAAACGGGAUUAGAUACCCUAGUAGUCC
This 292-nucleotide ribosomal RNA is filed under the name uncultured bacterium. RNAcentral's name for it is "partial 16S ribosomal RNA". It matches the Rfam family "Bacterial small subunit ribosomal RNA", at positions 505 to 796 of the family's 1533-position model. The record is from RNAcentral.